Molecule: ribosomal RNA, 467 nt
Filed under: uncultured bacterium
Lineage: Bacteria
Description: partial 16S ribosomal RNA
Rfam family: Bacterial small subunit ribosomal RNA
Source: RNAcentral
ACGAACGCUGGCGGCGUGCUUAACACAUGCAAGUCGAACGGAAAGGCCCUGCUUUUGUGGGGUGCUCGAGUGGCGAACGGGUGAGUAACACGUGAGUAACCUGCCCUUGACUUUGGGAUAACUUCAGGAAACUGGGGCUAAUACCGGAUAGGAGCUCCUGCUGCAUGGUGGGGGUUGGAAAGUUUCGGCGGUGGGGGUUGGCCCCGGGGCUUAUCAGCUUGUUGGGGGGGUAGUGGCUUACCAAGGCUUUGACGGGUGGCCGGCCUGAGAGGGUGACCGGCCACAUUGGGACUGAGAUACGGCCCAGACUCCUACGGGAGGCAGCAGUGGGGAAUAUUGCACAAUGGGCGGAAGCCUGAUGCAGCAACGCCGCGUGCGGGAUGACGGCCUUCGGGUUGUAAACCGCUUUCGCCUGUGACGAAGCGUGAGUGACGGUAAUGGGUAAAGAAGCACCGGCUAACUACGUG